UGGUGAACGAGGCAUUUGUGGAGCUGCUGGAGGCAGUGCGUCAGGACCAUUCAGGUCUGAAGGUUCAGUACCAGGGGGUUACGGGCUCUAUCACCAGGACCAAAAAACCCUCCAUCGCACUCAACAUCAUACAGGACUUCCUUACAGAGCGAAAGGAGGGCCUGGUAGAACUGUUCCAGAGUUUGGAUAAAGAGGGAACCAUGUCUGUGACCAACAAGGAGUUCAGGAAGGCUGUGCAGGUCUGACGCCACGAGCAGCCCACUGACAGAGUGACUAGUCACUGUUUCACAGUCUCCCAAGUGAUUGAACAUGACAAGAUCAAUCAAUCAACCAAUCAACAAGAUCAAUCAACCAACCAAUCAGUCAAUCAAUCAACAAAUCAAUUAAUGUAUAUAAUUUUGAAUAUGAUGGUAUAGAUAACAAUUUUGUUUGUGUAUUGCAGCAAGCUAACAUACCCCUGGAUCAACAACAGCUGGAGUGGCUGAUCCAGAACUUUGACAAGGACUGUACAGGCAGGAUAAAUUACAGGUGGGUCAGGCAGGAUAAACUACAGGUGUGUCAGGCAGGAUAAACUACAGGUGUGUCAGGCAGGAUAAACUACAGGUGUGUCAGGCAGGAUAAACUACAGGUGUGUCAGGCAGGAUAAACUACAGGUGUGUCAGGCAGGAUAAACUACAGGUGUGUCAGGCAGGAUAAACUACAGGUGUGUCAGGCAGGAUAAACUACAGGUGUGUCAGGCAGGAUAAACUACAGGUGUGUCAGGCAGGAUAAACUGCAGGUGGGUCAGGCAGGAUAAACUACAGGUGUGUCAGGCAGGAUAAACUACAGGUGUGUCAGGCAGGAUAAACUACAGGUGUGUCAGGCAGGAUAAACUACAGGUGUGUCAGGCAGGAUAAACUACAGGUGUGUCAGGCAGGAUAAACUACAGGUGUGUCAGGCAGGAUAAACUACAGGUGUGUCAGGCAGGAUAAACUACAGGCAGGGUCAGGCAGGAUAAACUACAGGUGUGUCAGGCAGGAUAAACUACAGGUGUGCCAGGCAGGAUAAACUGCAGGUGGGUCAGGCAGGGUAAACUACAGGUGUGUCAGGCAGGAUAAACUACAGGUGUGUCAGGCAGGAUAAACUACAGGUGGGUCAGGCAGGAUAAACUACAGGUGUGUCAGGCAGGAUAAACUACAGGUGUGUCAGGCAGGAUAAACUACAGGUGUGUCAGGCAGGAUAAACUACAGGCAGGGUCAGGCAGGAUAAACUACAGGUGUGUCAGGCAGGAUAAACUACAGAUGUGUCAGGCAGGGUCAGGCAGGAUAAACUACAGGUGUGUCAGGCAGGAUAAACUACAGGUGUGUCAGGCAGGAUAAACUACAGGUGGGUCAGGCAGGAUAAACUACAGGUGGGUCAGGCAGGAUAAAAUGCAGUUGUGUCAGUCAGGAUAAACUACAGGUGUGUCAGGCAGGAUAAACUACAGGUGGGUCAGGCAGGGUAAAAUACAGGUGUGUCAGGCAGGAUAAACU
Molecule: non-coding RNA, 1511 nt
Organism: Oncorhynchus mykiss (rainbow trout)
Lineage: Eukaryota; Metazoa; Chordata; Actinopteri; Salmoniformes; Salmonidae
Source: RefSeq, a predicted model, not a curated record